RNAcentral lists this ribosomal RNA (554 nucleotides) under uncultured bacterium. RNAcentral's name for it is "partial 16S ribosomal RNA". It matches the Rfam family "Bacterial small subunit ribosomal RNA", at positions 355 to 900 of the family's 1533-position model. The record is from RNAcentral.
UAGGGAAUCUUCCACAAUGGACGCAAGUCUGAUGGAGCAACGCCGCGUGAGUGAAGAAGGUUUUCGGACCGUAAAGCUCUGUUGUUGGUGAAGAAGGAUAGAGGUAGUAACUGGCCUUUAUUUGACGGUAAUCAACCAGAAAGUCACGGCUAACUACGUGCCAGCAGCCGCGGUAAUACGUAGGUGGCAAGCGUUGUCCGGAUUUAUUGGGCGUAAAGCGAGCGCAGGCGGAAGAAUAAGUCUGAUGUGAAAGCCCUCGGCUUAACCGAGGAAUUGCAUCGGAAACUGUUUUCUUGAGUGCAGAAGAGGAGAGUAGAACUCCAUGUGUAGCGGUGGAAUGCGUAGAUAUAUGGAAGAAUACCAGUGGCGAAGGCGGCUCUCUGGUCUGCAACUGACGCUGAGGCUCGAAAGCAUGGGUAGCGAACAGGAUUAGAUACCCUGGUAGUCCAUGCCGUAAACGAUGAGUGCUAAGUGUUGGGAGGCUUCCGCCCCUCAGUGCUGCAGCUAACGCAUUAAGCACUCCGCCUGGGGGAGUACGACCGCAAGGUUGAAAC